UUUGCUCUCAUUCUAUUUUUUUUCUUGUUUUCUUUUGCUUGUGUCGUCUUUGCCACCGUACACCAUCAUCACCACCCUUUGCACUACCUUCUGUACCACCUUGCGCCGCUCUCUUGCUUUUUUUCGUCAUCUAUAUUUUAUUCCCUCAUCUCAUCUCAUCUAUUUUAUUUUUCUUUCUUUUUCUAUUCUACCGCACCUAUCACUUCAUUUCCCUCCUCCUUAUGUCACCCUUUUUACACCAUCACCUCGUCGGGC
This 255-nucleotide long non-coding RNA is filed under the name Gossypium barbadense (sea-island cotton). RNAcentral's name for it is "long non-coding RNA (GBAR_LNC008923)". Lineage: Eukaryota; Viridiplantae; Streptophyta; Magnoliopsida; Malvales; Malvaceae. The record is from RNAcentral.